Long non-coding RNA from Cyprinus carpio carpio, 2652 nucleotides. Lineage: Eukaryota; Metazoa; Chordata; Actinopteri; Cypriniformes; Cyprinidae. The record is from Ensembl.
GUUGCCGCUGGCUGGAGUAGGCAGAGGCAUGGAUGGAAUUGUGCCCCUAUUUCAAUGCAUCUAUUGCACAUCAGCUGUAAGGGGUUGUAGCACAUUCCCAAGGGCUAAUUCUCUGGAUUUGUCUAUAGGAUCCAGUGGACAUAAAGAGCAGCGCAGAGCCUGAGCCAGAGCCGGAGCCGGAGGCAGCAGCUCUCGAACCCAGUCCUGUGGAAGCCGCAGAAGAAAACAACCCGUCAGAGGAGGUCAAAGCAACAGAAAAGACAGUUAUGAACUUUUUCAAAACAUUUGUCACUCCGACCAAAACAAGCAAAGAAGCCAAAGCCACUCCAGAUGCUUCAAAAGAGCAGCCACAGAAAGAGACCCCAUCAGCACCAUCAACAAAUGUACAGGAAGCACCCAAGGCACCUCCUCCUCCUCCCCCAGCACCACCUAAGAUGGAAAGCAAAGCAGAGCCGGUGGUGAAGAAAGAGGAAACGUCUUCAACAAAAGCAGUAGCAGCAGCUGCAACAAAAGCAGAGGGAUCUGCCAAGAGCAAAACCAAAGACAGUGCAUUAAGCAAACUCUUCCGUUCAAAGGUGUUGCUAGGCAAGGUGGUGUCAAAAGUUCAGGCGGCAACAAGCAGUGGAGCCAGAGCUAAGACGUCAGGAGUGCCUGUUGUGGUGGAAGAGAAAAAGCCGGUUGAGGUGCAGGUCGAUGCGUCUAAGACCAGCACUCUUGAGGCCGCUGCCAAACCUGAAGAACCUCCGGCGCCAAAACCAGAGGAGAAGAAACUAGAAAAGAAAUCCACUUUUGGAAACAUGUUCAAACCCAAGGUUCUGCUCGGCAAGGUGAGCAGCAGGAUCCAGGCCGCGGCGUCCAGCGCUGCCGCCAGCAUCUCCCACAUGUCUGCUGCAGCGGCACCAGAGCCCAAGAAGGACACUCCAGCUGCUCCUCCCGUGGCAGAAGCCGCUCCACCCGCAAAGGCCAAAGAGGAGCCGAGACCCACCACUCCUGCACAGCAAGCGGUCCCGGACAACAAAUCAGCCGACAGCACAGGGAACGCCUCCCCCAACAUGCCCCACAAGCUGGAGAAGAGGAACUCCCUCCAGCUGUUCUUCAAAAACCUGGGCCAAAAACGCCAUUCUGAUGCCGGAGUGCAAACGGACCCUGUGGCACCCGAGAAGGCCAAAUAAAACCCCGCCUUUGUUUUGAUCGCUCAUCUGUGCCAAAACCAUUGGCAGCCAUGCACAUAAGAACAUAUUUACCAAAGUUGGGAGGUAUUAUGCUGACUUGCAAGGCCCAAGUUUGAAGUAACUAUCAAAUAAUAAUCUGAAUUCCCAUGCAUUUAAUGAGAGCAGAAGUAAGUGUAACGAUUUCCCUGUUAAGCAAGUGCUACAUGUGUUUAUGACCGGAGGGAGGAACUCGUGUUGUUUUUCAGAGAGAAACGUGUCAGAGUUGCGUGGUGUGGCAUGAGAUGGAAAAGUGAAAGUGAAAAUGUAAUCCUGCAUUGAAGAUAAACUCCCUUUUUUAUGUGCAUGUUAAAAUGUAAAAUAUGUUAACUAUACUAACACUACUUAUAUUGCAUCACACAUUAAAGCCGAUGCAUUAAGAUGCCUUUUCACCGGGACAAAGAUAACAUCAUGCGCGUUUGCAUGUGAAAAGAAUUUAUUUAUGUAAUCAUACACUGUCAUCUGAUUAUGAAUACAAUGACCCAUCGUCUGCUGAAUUCAAUCACUGAAACCUACAAAGCCAAUUUGAAUUCCACUUAAAGUGCAAAACUUCUGAAUCACUUUAAUAAAUCCAUAGAAAUCACAAUUAUUUAUUUAACAUAAUGUCAAUCAAAUUGAGCACCAUAUAUUAUUACUCCAAAUUAUUCGGUUAUUUAAGUUCAGCCCAGUUUCUAUUUAAAAAAUAAUAAUUGUUUUCAUUUCUACAAUUGUUUAUUAAUCAUAACUUACUAACUAAACCACAUUACAAUUAUUGUCUUUUUAUUUGCUUGGCCGUCCAUUUCUGACCGGAGGAGACUAAAAAGAAAUUAAGCUAGUUAAAUGUUUUAUUUUCUUUCUUAUUUUCCGAACAUAUCAGUUGUUAUUAGAACAGUAUGAAAUAAAUAUGUGGUAUACAGUUAUGCAAUAUACAAUGUACAUUCAAUUUAGCUGCAGUCACAUGUGUUUUAUGAUUUUCUUCCUAAUUAUCGCUACAUUUGUAAAGAGUAGAUGGGCCUAAUUAAGAAUUCAGACUGUAUCCAUGAAUCUUAGACUUUCUGUAACUCCUUUGUUGCAUUUUUGUCUAUUUAACCAAUUUAUAAAAAUAAAAGAAUCAUUUCUCUCCUCUGUAAAAAUGACUCGUUCUGUAUUUACAGCAUGAAAACAUAGAUUUUAAAAUAUAUAGUUUUACAUUUUCCUGGGGGAAAAAAAGUGUUUGCUGGUGUAGGUUUCCACAUGGCUAUAUAUAUAUAUAUAUAUAUAUAUAUAUAUUGUAAUUAUGAUUUAGUUUACAGCUAAUUUCUUAAUAGUUUGCUUUGUUAAGUCUGAUAUUUCCAAAGAGGGCAUGUGUCCGGACCGCCUACAGGGCAGCACAAAUUUGGAAAACUAUUAACAUGGGACAAAAGAUGCAUGGUAUUCUAGGCACUUUUUGUGAGUGCAGUGUGCUCUUCAUGCUGGUGUUUUCCCG